GUGCUUGCUUUGACAGCACAUAUACUAAAAUUGGGAUGAUACAGAGAAGAUUAGCAUGGCCCCUGGGCAAAGAGGACAUAUUAGCCAAUACAUCUGAUAAGGGGUU
Molecule: small nuclear RNA, 106 nt
Organism: Phyllostomus discolor (pale spear-nosed bat)
Lineage: Eukaryota; Metazoa; Chordata; Mammalia; Chiroptera; Phyllostomidae
Source: RefSeq, a predicted model, not a curated record